GACCCCAUUGUGUAGUGGUUAGCACCCCACCCUUUCAAGGUGGUAGCACGGGUUCGAAUCCCGUUGGGGUCGCCA
Molecule: transfer RNA, 75 nt
Filed under: Methylacidimicrobium sp. B4
Lineage: Bacteria; Pseudomonadati; Verrucomicrobiota
Description: tRNA-Glu
Rfam family: tRNA
About the family: Transfer RNA (tRNA) molecules are approximately 80 nucleotides in length.
Source: RNAcentral